UUCUAUUAAAAAUACUAAUUAAUAGUAAAAUCUGCUCAAUGAAAAAUAAAUAGCCGCAAUUCGUGCUAAGGUAGCAUAAUCAUUUGUCUUUUAAAUAAAGACUAGAACAAAAGAUUUAACAUUUUAAUAAAUAUAUCUGAUAUAAAAAAUUAAAUUUUUAAAAGUAGUAAAAAUACCACUAUAAUAAAGAAAGACGACAAGACCCUAUUGAACUUAACUUCAGUUAAACUGGGGCAGUAAAUUAAUUAUAAUUUUAAUAUAAAUAAAACGACACAUAUCCUUUACAAUAGAUUAAUCCAGUUACCAUAGGGAUAACAGCGCAAUUACUUUUUAAAGCUCUCAUAUUAAAAAUAGAUUACGACCUCGAUGUUGAAUUAAUAACCUAAAUAAGGCAAAUCUUAAAUAAGGAAGUCUGUUCGACUUUUAAAAAAUUACA
RNAcentral lists this ribosomal RNA (436 nucleotides) under Chalcoscirtus ansobicus. RNAcentral's name for it is "partial 16S ribosomal RNA". The record is from RNAcentral. Lineage: Eukaryota; Metazoa; Arthropoda; Arachnida; Araneae; Salticidae.